This 759-nucleotide long non-coding RNA is filed under the name Monodelphis domestica (gray short-tailed opossum). RNAcentral describes it as "lncRNA (ENSMODG00000033387.2)". The record is from RNAcentral. Lineage: Eukaryota; Metazoa; Chordata; Mammalia; Didelphimorphia; Didelphidae.
AAGGACAUGGCUGACAUUGUUAUUCCUGUUUUACAAAUGAGGGAAUUGAGGCAGAUAGAAAUUUAGUGAAUUACAUAGUCACAUAUCUAAAUAAGUUUCUGAAGCUGAAUUUAAAUGCAGAUUUUCUUGACUUCAAGUCCUGGACUCUAUCCAUAUAAAAUAAUAAACUUGGUUGACACCUUUGUGCUGUCUCUGGGAGGAAUGGACAAACAAAACUAAGUUGUGGACUGGUAACAUUUAGUGCUUAUUUGCAAGACCAUCUUCCAGUGUAUCUGAGUCUAAAUCUGAAGUUAAUUUGUUUUUCUUGUGACCAGUAUUUAAGGGAUCUAUCUACACUGCAGUUCAGUCAUGCUGUGAAUUUUAGAUUUUCUCCAUUUGGCUUAGUCUAGCACCCAGGAAUGUAUACACCCACACCACACUGGCAUGUGCUAGCAAGUGACAAAUCAGAAACAACUGACUGUCCCCUGGGCUGUCCUAAGAUAAGCUUGCGGCACCAUUGGCACAUGUGAGACACAGGAAGUGAUGUAGAGAACUGCCUUUGGAGUUCAAGUCACUUCCUGUGUGGACUGCCUGGGUGCCAGUUGACCCCGGAACUCGAGUCUGGAGGAGCUCCUCAGAUGGCUUCCUUGAGACUAUCACAUGGGUUCCAUGAGCUCCAAAGGGAAGAGUCUCCCAUGGAACACCUGAUUUUUCUUUCUCCUGCCUCUCACACCAGCCUCUAUUUGGCUAGACUAUAGCCUGUCUCAGAUAGACACUUUC